GGAAGUGAGUCACAAGAAUAGGAGUUGCUCUUAGUUCAAUAUCUACCUCCACUGUUAACCAGUCCACCGCCGUGACCGCCGUUGAAAUCACCAGAGGUGUGCAGUUACUAUCGUUCAUGAUGCAGUGUGUUGUUACAAGCGUUCAGAGAGGGAAUGGAUUCUCUCCCGUGGGUCAAAAAACUGGAGGAAAUAAUGUUGAGACUUAUAAUAAGGGACAGACAAAGUACAUUGUAAUGGAAACUACCCAAAUAGUUGAAGAAGAUGUUGUGAUUGUGGGAGCUGGAAUUGCUGGCCUUACUACAGCCUUAGGACUUCACAGGU
This is a long non-coding RNA of Trifolium pratense (red clover), 321 nucleotides long. RefSeq lists it as uncharacterized. The record is from RefSeq and is a predicted model, not a curated record. The transcript is spliced from 4 exons. NCBI's taxonomy places the organism in Eukaryota, Viridiplantae, Streptophyta, Magnoliopsida, Fabales, Fabaceae.